AUAUAUAUAUAUAUAUAUAUGGUAAUGGAACUUUACAAAGAUGGAAAAGGAUAUAAAAAGAUAUCCAAAGCCUUGAAAAUGCCAGUCAAUACUGUUCAAUCACUUAUCAAGAAGUGGAAAAUUCGGGGAUCUCUUGAUACCAAGCCAAGGUCGGGUAGACCAAGAAAGAUUUCAGCCACAACCACCAGAAGAAUUAUUCGGGAUACAAAGGAAAACCCACAGGUAACCUCAGGAGAAAUACAGGCUGCUCUGGAAAAAGAUGGUGUGGUUGUUUCAAGGAGCACAAUAGAAGAUACUUGAACAAAAAUGAGCUGCAUGGUCGAGUUGCCAGAAAUAAGCCUUUACUGCACCAAUGCCACAAAAAACACCUUGACAUGCCUCACAGCUUCUGGCACACUGUAAUUUGGAGUGACGAGACCAAAAUAGAGCUUGUUUGGAGAGGGGUCAACAAGGCCUAUAGUGAAAAGAAUACCAUCCCCACUGUGAAGCAUGGUGGUGGCUCACUGAUGUUUUGAGGGUGUGUGAGCUCUAAAGGCAGCUUGUGAAUCUUGUGAAAAUUGAUGGCAAAAUGAAUGCAGCAUGUUAUCAGAAAAUACUGGCAGACAAUUUGUAUUCUUCUGCACGAAAGCUGUGCACGACAAAUGACCCUAAGCACAAGGCCAAGUUGACCCUCCAGUGGUUAAAGCAGAAAAAGGUGAAGGUUCUGGAGUGGCCAUCAUAGUCUCCUGACCUUUAUAUAAUCGAGCCACUCUGGGGAGAUCUCAAACAUGCGGUUCAUGCAAGAUGACCAAAGACUUUGCAUGACCUGGAGGCAUUUUGCCAAGAUGAAUGGGCAGCUAUACCACCUACAAGAAUUUGGGACCUCAUAGACAACUAUUACAAAAGACUGCACGCUGUCAUUGAUGCUAAAGGGGGCAAUACACAGUAUUAAGAACUAAGGGUAUGCAGACUUUUGAACAGGGGUCAUUUCAAUUUUUUUCUUUGUUGCCAUGUUUUGUUUUAUGAUUGUGCCAUUCUGUUAUAACCUACAGUUGAAUAUGAAUCCCAUAAGAAACAAAAGAAAUGUGUUUUGCCUGCUCACUCAUGUUUUCUUUAAAAAUGGUACAUAUAUUACCAAUUCUCCAAGGGUAUACAAACUUAUGAGCACAACUGUAUAUAUUAACAUAACGUGAAACCAAAUUAUUGGCAUAGCAGAUCUUGUACACUGUGUAAUAUAGGGUAUUAAUUGAUGGUUUGUGCUCCUAAGAUCAUCUAAUAUGAUUCAUGUUUUAUAAAGGCACUAUCUGUACUACUGAUCUUUUGUAGUGUCUAGUAGUGUCUGUUUGGAUCUGCCAUAUAACAUUAAGAGUAAAGGUUUUUACUACACAUACAUACAUUUUCUAUGUCUGUUUGGAUCUGGCAAACACAUGUUUAUAACUGAGAGAAAAUGAUACAAACCUUAUGUCACAGUAUUCCUCUGAUUUCUCUGAUUCCUCUGAAAGUUUGCGGCCUUGGAACAUAUCUGUAUGUGCUUGAUUCCAUGAGAGCAUAAACGAAGUAAAUGAAGCGUGAUUGGUUGAAGAUAGAAUGUGCUACGAUUGGUCCGAGUAAUGUGGCCAUUAUCUGAUUGGCUUGAGUAGAUGAUGGGUGGAGUCCACCUAUUUGUGGAUUGCCCGCAGCUCUCACGCAAGAAAUGUUUCAGAAUUCACAAAUUGCCCUCACACUUUGAGAACCGCUGGCUUACAGCGCCUUUGAGUUAAGAAAACCCUUGGUUAUAAAUGUCUUUGUGUAAAUAUGCAACAUGAUCACACAGGAAACUGAAAAGCUGCCUCCAAAUCUUCAUGUACUCUGAAUUCAAUCGCAUUCUGUCGAAUUACUGACAAGCGGCAUCCCUCAUCAGACAAUUUUGCAUCAAUUUAAAAGUGUUCACAUUUCCCUGUGGUGCUACUGAUACAGGUUCUGGUGCCAUGGAAACCAGGAGGUUAAUGCAUUCACA
Long non-coding RNA from Myxocyprinus asiaticus (Chinese sucker), 1975 nucleotides. RefSeq lists it as uncharacterized. The record is from RefSeq and is a predicted model, not a curated record. The transcript has 3 exons. Lineage: Eukaryota; Metazoa; Chordata; Actinopteri; Cypriniformes; Catostomidae.